Molecule: transfer RNA, 72 nt
Filed under: Rhacodactylus leachianus (New Caledonia giant gecko)
Lineage: Eukaryota; Metazoa; Chordata; Lepidosauria; Squamata; Diplodactylidae
Description: partial tRNA-Tyr
Rfam family: tRNA
About the family: Transfer RNA (tRNA) molecules are approximately 80 nucleotides in length. Their secondary structure includes four short double-helical elements and three loops (D, anti-codon, and T loops). Further hydrogen bonds mediate the characteristic L-shaped molecular structure. tRNAs have two regions of fundamental functional importance: the anti-codon, which is responsible for specific mRNA codon recognition, and the 3' end, to which the tRNAs corresponding amino acid is attached (by aminoacyl-tRNA synthetases). tRNAs cope with the degeneracy of the genetic code in two manners: having more than one tRNA (with a specific anti-codon) for a particular amino acid; and 'wobble' base-pairing, i.e. permitting non-standard base-pairing at the 3rd anti-codon position.
Source: RNAcentral
AGGUAGAGUGACCCGAUAGUUUAGGUGGCAGGCUGUAGUCCUGUUUACAUGGGUUUAAGUCCUGUUUCUAUC